RNAcentral lists this ribosomal RNA (497 nucleotides) under uncultured bacterium. Its description in RNAcentral is "bacterial SSU rRNA". It matches the Rfam family "Bacterial small subunit ribosomal RNA", at positions 23 to 518 of the family's 1533-position model. The record is from RNAcentral.
CUCAGGAUGAACGCUGGCGGCGUGCCUAACACAUGCAAGUCGAACGGGAACCUCAUAGUGGAGACUUCGGUCAAAGCAGUGAGAAUUCUAGUGGCGGAUGGGUGAGUAACGCGUGGGUAACCUGCCUACAAGAAUUGGAUAACAGCGAGAAAUUGUUGCUAAUACAAUAUAAGCUUACAGUAUCGCAUGAUACAGUGAGAAAAAGAUUUAUCGCUUGUAGAUGGACCCGCGUUUGAUUAGCCAGUUGGUGGGAUAGAGGCCUACCAAAGCGACGAUCAAUAGCCGGCCUGAGAGGGUGGACGGCCACAUUGGGACUGAGACACGGCCCAAACUCCUACGGGAGGCAGCAGUGGGGAAUAUUGCACAAUGGGGGAAACCCUGAUUGCAGCAACGCCGCGUGAGUGAAGAAGUAUUUCGGUAUGUAAAGCUCUAUCGAUAGGGAAUAAGAUGAGGGUACCUAAGUAAGAAGCCCCGGCUAACUACGUGCCAGCCGCCGC